AUGGAGAGGCAGUCCAGCUCCCGGUUCGGCGCCCUGGAGAAGCUCAAGAGCUUCCGGGGCAUAGAGAAGCAGAGGAGCUUCAAGUUCCUGUCCAUGGAGAAGCAGCAGAGCUUCAAGGAGAGGCGGAGCCGGGACAGCCCCGGGAAGAGGGGCGACAGCGCGCUCCACCUCGCGGCCAGGGCCGGCAAUGUCUCCCAUGUCCAGAGGAUCUUCGCCGACUGCGACCCGGAGCUGGUGGGGGAGCUGGCCGCCCACCAGAACCUGGACGGCGAGACGGCGCUGUACGUGGCCGCCGAGAAGGGGCACGUCGACGUCGUGUGCGAGAUACUCAAGGCCUGUGACGUGCACUCAGCGGGGCUCAAGGCGACCAAUAGCUUCGAUGCCUUCCAUAUCGCGGCCAAACAGGGCCAUCUGGAUGUUCUGCAGGAGCUAUUGCAGGCAUUUCCCGCGUUAGCUAUGACGACGAGUUCUGUGAACGCCACAGCUUUAGACACCGCCGCAACCCAGGGCCACAUUGGUAUUGUCAAUCUUCUUCUGGAUACAGACGCAAGCCUUGCCAGGAUUGCAAGAAGUAAUGGGAAGACAGUUUUGCAUUCAGCAGCAAGAAUGGGUCAUGUGGAGGUGGUAGCGUCGUUGUUGAAUAAAGAUCCGGAUAUUGGUUUCAGAACAGACAGGAAGGGACAGACAGCGCUGCACAUGGCUUCCAAAGGCCAGAAUGCUGAAAUUCUGCUUGAGCUAUUGAAGCCUGAUGUCUCAGUAAUCCAUUUGGAGGAUAACAAGGGGAACAGAGCACUGCAUGUUGCAACGCGCAAGGGCAACACCAUUAUGGUUCAGACUUUAAUAUCCAUUGAAGAGAUUGAUAUCAAUGCAGUCAAUAAAGCUGGAGAGACUGCUUUUGCCAUUGCAGAGAAACAAGGCAAUGAAGAGCUUGUUAACAUCCUGCGGGAGGUUGGUGGAAUAACUGCAAAAGAGCAAGCAAAUCCUCCGAAAUCAGCCAAGCAGCUUAAGCAAACAGUCAGCGAUAUCAAGCAUGACGUCCAAUCACAGAUCAAGCAAACGCGUCAGACCAAGAUGCAUGUCCACAAGAUCAAGAAGAGGAUUCAGAAGCUCCACAUUGGCGGGCUAAACAAUGCCAUCAACUCCAAUACCGUUGUCGCAGUACUUAUUGCCACGGUUGCCUUUGCAUCCAUAUUCACCAUUCCUGGUAAUUUUCUUGAGAGUAUGGACAAAGCGACUGAGCCCCAUAUGAGCUUAGGGCAAGCACUGGUAGCAAGCAGGCCAGCUUUUAUAAUCUUCUUGGUCUUUGACUCCUUGGCUCUCUUUAUUUCGCUCGCCGUGGUCGUUGUCCAGACCUCUCUGAUUGUUGUUGAGCAGAAGGCGAAGCAGAAGAUGGUCUUUGUGAUGAACAAGUUGAUGUGGCUCGCGUGCCUCUGCAUAUCAGCAGCCUUCAUAGCACUGACCUACGUCGUCGUGGGCCGCAAUGACGAGUGGCUGGCUUGGUGCACGAUGGUGAUCGGCACCGUGAUUAUGCUAACCACCAUUGGUUCCAUGUGCUAUUGCAUCAUCAGCCACAGGAUGGAAGCGCAGAGCAUGAGGAGGAUCAGGAGGUCCUCCAUGAGCCAGUCGUGGUCCAUAUCAGUCGACUCGGACACGGAGCUAGACAUGACCAGCAGAAACAAGACGAUGUAUGCGCUGUAG
This 1698-nucleotide ribosomal RNA is filed under the name Triticum aestivum (bread wheat). Its description in RNAcentral is "partial small subunit ribosomal RNA". Lineage: Eukaryota; Viridiplantae; Streptophyta; Magnoliopsida; Poales; Poaceae. The record is from RNAcentral.